This 403-nucleotide ribosomal RNA is filed under the name uncultured bacterium. RNAcentral's name for it is "bacterial SSU rRNA". It matches the Rfam family "Bacterial small subunit ribosomal RNA", at positions 29 to 433 of the family's 1533-position model. The record is from RNAcentral.
AUUGAACGCUGGCGGCGUGCCUAACACAUGCAAGUCGAGCGGUAACAGGUGUAGCAAUACAUGCUGACGAGCGGCGAACGGGUGAGUAAUGCUUCGGAAUCUACCCAAUGGUGGGGAAUAACCAGCCGAAAGGUUGGCUAAUACCGCAUACGUCCCACGGGAGAAAGCAGGGGAUCGCAAGACCUUGCGCCAAUGGAUGAGCCGAAGUCGGAUUAGCUAGUUGGAGGGUAACGGCCUACCAAGGCGACGAUCCGUAGCUGGUCUGAGAGGACGACCAGCCACACUGGGACUGAGACACGGCCAGACUCCUACGGGAGCAGCAGUGGGGAAUAUUGGACAAUGGGGGAAACCCUGAUCCAGCGACGCCGCGUGUGUGAAGAAGGCCUGCGGGGUUGUAAAGCAC